Molecule: long non-coding RNA, 555 nt
Organism: Clupea harengus (Atlantic herring)
Lineage: Eukaryota; Metazoa; Chordata; Actinopteri; Clupeiformes; Clupeidae
Source: Ensembl
GACUCAUUACAUUCCAUGAGAUUAUCAAAUAUAGCUAUAUACAGUAUUACAUUCACAGGGUACUAAAGGUAAGUAUAAAACAUUCAUAUUUCAUUCAACAUAUUUCAGGAGGUAGCUGCAAGAACAAAACAGAUUAGUGCAAACAGCUAAAAAGUGAGUAAGGGAUUGUCAUCAACAGUUAACACACAUUGACUCAUUACAUUUCAUGAGAUUAUCAAAUAAAGCUCUAUACAGUAUUACAUUCACAGGGUACUAAAGGUAAGUAUACAACAUUCAUAUUUCAUUCAACAUAUUUCAGGAGGUAGCUGCAAGAACAAAACAGAUUAGUGCAAACAGCUAAAAAAAGUGGAAACUUCCUUUUUCUUUUCACAGGUCACAUUUCAGGAACAGGUAAGUAUUUUCUUUUCACAGAUCACAUUGCAGGAACAGGUAAGUAUUUUCUUUUCCUUUACAUUUUUUUUUUUGUUUGGUUUACAUUACAGGAACAGGUAAGUGAACACCUUUUUUUUUUAAUAGGGCAGCGAUCCGCCUACAUCCUUUUACACAUCAUUUACA